GUACCCUCCAGCCUUGCUGGGUGCUGGGUGUUUGUUCCGCUGCACGCGUGAACUCGCCUUAAAUACAUUGGCAGCCAGCCGUCCCGCGUGGGAGCGCAGCACAAUUUGCGCUUUCCGCUGUAGUCGGCGGCGUCCAUAAGUCUACAAUUUUUAC
RNAcentral lists this unclassified non-coding RNA (154 nucleotides) under uncultured Pleosporales. RNAcentral's name for it is "sequence contains ITS2". Lineage: Eukaryota; Fungi; Ascomycota; Dothideomycetes; Pleosporales. The record is from RNAcentral.